Molecule: ribosomal RNA, 509 nt
Filed under: uncultured bacterium
Lineage: Bacteria
Description: bacterial SSU rRNA
Rfam family: Bacterial small subunit ribosomal RNA
Source: RNAcentral
UACGUGCCAGCAGCCGCGGUAACACGUAAGGUGCGAGCGUUGUUCGGAAUUAUUGGGCGUAAAGGGCAUGUAGGCGGAUGAGCAAGCUUGGUGUGAAAUGCUACAGCUUAACUGUGGGACAGCAUUGAGAACUGCACAUCUUGAAUUACUGAAGGGUAACUAGAAUUCCACGUGUAGGGGUGAAAUCUGUAGAUAUGUGGAAGAAUACCAAUGGCGAAGGCAAGUUACCGGCAGAUAAUUGACGCUGAGGUGCGAAAGUGCGGGGAGCGAACAGGAUUAGAUACCCUGGUAGUCCGCACAGUAAACGAUGUACACUAGGUGUCUGGCAACAAAGCUGGGUGCCAAAGCAAACGUGGUAAGUGUACCGCCUGGGGAGUAUGCCCGCAAGGGUGAAACUCAAAGGAAUUGACGGGGGCCCGCACAAGCGGUGGAGCAUGUGGUUUAAUUCGAUGGUACGCGAGGAACCUUACCUGGGUUUGACAUAGUACUUAAGUUCGUAGAGAUACGGA